Molecule: long non-coding RNA, 3666 nt
Filed under: Cricetulus griseus (Chinese hamster)
Lineage: Eukaryota; Metazoa; Chordata; Mammalia; Rodentia; Cricetidae
Description: lncRNA (ENSCGRG00015038737.1)
Source: RNAcentral
GCCAGACACAUAGGAAGCAAGACGAGAAUGACUCUCUGAGAAAAGGUACCAAGCCACGUGGCUAAACAUAGAUAAGAAUUAUGGGUUAAUUUAAGUUGUAAGAGUUUGUUAGUAGUAAACCUGAGCAAUAGGCCAAACAGUUUAUAAUUAAUGUCAGCCUCCGUGUGUUUAUUUGGGACUGAAUGGCCGCAGGACCGGGUGCGACAGGAACUUGAGCCAACAACUUCUUCUACUUCUGGAUCCUGAGCACCCAAGAUCAAGGUGCCUGGAAGUCAUCUUGGGACACAGGGCUUGCCUUGGAGCCUGACUUCCUGACGACUUUUGACUGGGGGCCAGCAUUAUCCUCGGUCUGCACAGACCACAUGUGCUUCCCCCUCUGGUGCUCUGAGCAGUUGAACUCACUGGAGGGGAAGCACCUGUAAUCCCCGUUUGGAAAAAUGUCUGCCUAACGGCAAUUCUCCCGGACACAACACACUUGACAAUGGAAGGCACAGUGGGAUCGGGGCUCGCCGAAGCCUGUUUCAUGUGCAGAUACAAUCAGAGAUUUGGCCAGCUAUUUGGAAACGGCUGGGCCCUGCAGAUAGCUUAAUCACUGAGAAUUCCUCUAUGGCCUGCUCUGAUUCUAAGCUGUGAUAAACUUGGAAGAUGGAAACUGAGAGAUGGGUUGGAAGACUAAGUCUAGACAGGGUUUCUCUGUGGCUUUGGAGCUUGUCCUAGCACUCACUCUGUAGACCAGGUUGGUCUCAAAUUCAUAGAGAUCUGCCUGCCUCUGCCUCCCGAGUUCUGGAUUAAAGGCGUUCGCUACCACCGCCAAGAAAUCUGGCCUUGAACUUCUGAUCCUGGGAUUACAGGUGUGUAGUCCUAGAACUUCACUCAUGCUAGACAAGCACCGUACCGACUGAGCUUUAUCGCAGCCCCUGUGAGAGCCUCAAACGCACCAGUCACUGCGCUAGUGCAGGGGAGAAUUAGCAGCUCUGCCAUCCCAGCCCAGACUGCCUUUGUCACCUGUGCACAUCUUCCGGUUCGCAUUGUCCAGUGCCACACAGCCAACGAAGUGGUCAACCUUCAUUGACAACUUGAUGGAAUCUAGAAUCACCAUGGAAACACACUUAUGCAUGUUCCCAUGGGUGUGUUCCCAGGGAGCUUUAACUGAAGAGAGAGGACUCAACCUGAAUGUGGGGAGCGCCAUCCCUCCAGCUGGGGGGCCAUCCUGAAUGAAAAGGAGAAAUCUACCCGGGCACCCGCAUUCAUCUUCUCUGCCUCCCGACUGUGGGUGCAGUGGACCAGUUGCCUUUCCCACCAGGACGGGCUGUACACCUUGGGAGUGUGAGUCAAUACACUUCCCUUCUUCAUUUAAGUUGCCUGUUGUCAGGACUUUGGUCACAUAAAGAGAAGAGCAAUUUAUACAGCACACUAACCAUCACUUAUUUGUCUCAGUUUUUGAAUGCUCAAUGUUUAUUAGGCUAAGGUGUUGGUGGGUAUGGUGGUUUGAAAGAAAAUGACUCCUCAAAGUGAGUGGCACUAGGUGUGGCUUUGUUAGAAUAGGCGUGGCCUUGUUGGCAGAAGUGUGUCACUGUGGAGGUGGACUCAAGCCAAGCCCAAUGUCUCAGACCACUUCCUGUUGCCAGUGAGUUGAGAAUUAAGAACCCGCAGCUCCCUCUCCAGCACCAUGUCUGCCUGCACUCUGCCAUACUCCAAACUGCCAUGCUCCCCACUGUGAAGACAAGAGACUAAACCUCUGAAACUGUAAGCCAGCCACCCAAUUAAAUGUUUUCCUUUGUAAGAGUUACCGUGGUCAUGGUGUCUCUUCACAGCAACAGGACACUGACUGAGACAGUGGGGAAAGCCCCUAUCUCAGGAGCUCACAGUUUGGGAAUUAAGCAAGGUCAUAAAUGAAACACUGUCAUAUUUCAAGUUCUGUUUGGAAUGAAGGAAAUAGAAUGCCAUGGCUUAAGCAGUGAAAUCCAGAUAUAACAGAAGGGUGCCCAAGAAUUAAAUUUACUCCCAGUGAGUCAUCCAUUCACUGAACAUUUGCUGACUGCUUCAAAGACGCCUGCAGCUGAGCUCAGAAGAGAGAAAUGCAGGAGAGGGAACUGCAGAGAAUGAGAAACCAGACUGCCACCCAGACCUCCUGCUGUCGGCCCUGUGCCUGAGCAACCUACCAAUCCUCUACAGGGUUUCUCUGUGCAGCCCUGGCUGUCCUGUUACUUGCUCUAUAGACCAACCUAUCCUGGAACUCAGAGACCCACCUGCCACCAUCAGCUGGCUGAAAGUGAAAACUUAAACGGUUCGAAAAGUUAAGUAUACUUGAUUUUUAAAUUUCUAUUUUUUUUUUUUGAUUGUGUGGGUGUGAGAGUGUAAGGGCGUGUUCGAACACCUGUGUGUAAGAAGCCCACAGACACCAGAUGAAAGAGCUGGUAAAUGUGAGCCACUGGUAUGGCUGCUGGGAACCCAUCUCUGCUUGUCUGAAUGAGCUGCUUUCAAGUGCUGAAUUAGCUGUGGGGCUAGAGAGAUGGCUCAGCAGUAAAGAGUAUUUUCUGUUAUUCCAGAGGGCCUGUAGGGCUUGAAUGAAAAUGCCCUUCAUAAGCUCCUAUGUUUGAACACUUGGUCUCCAGCUGGAAAAACUGUCUGGGGAGGUUUGGAUUAUGUGGCCUCAUUGGAAGAGGUGUGCCACUGGAGUCCAGCUCUGGAGUUUCAAAAGGCCAGUGUAUUGUCUUCCCCUGUUUGCAGACCAAGGCGUGAGCUCUCAGCGGUUCCUUUGCUCUGCCAUCAGGGACUCUAAUCCUCUGGAACUGCAAGCAAAGCCCAAUGCCACUGGAAGAGUGCAAGGCUGAUGCCAUCCUAAACUAAUGAGACAACUUUUCAACAAAGCCUGGCUCAGACAUCCAGAGAACGAAGGGAGACUACAAGCAGUGGUCGCAGACUCUGGCGACCACCUGAGCAAACAGAAUGGAUAGAGAUGACACAGAGGCAGUUCUUUGUGUGUGACAGGGUCACUCUACAUAGCCCUGGCUGUUCUGGAACUCUCUUUGUAGACCAGGCUAGCCUGGAAUCCACAGAGAUCCGCUUGCCUCGGCCUCCCAGUACUGGGACCAAAGGUGUAUGCCAUACCCAGCCCUGAGACAGCUUUUUAAGGACUUGACCUACAGCUUCUCAGACCCCCUACUGUCUGAGUAUAGCAGCCCAGCCUCUGCUCACUGGCUUUUGUGGUGACAGCUAGUGUGAGUUACAGUUUAACCAAGCCCUCUGCCUCCAGAGCUGUGGGGCCCCAUGAGCUGGCCCAGCCCAUGCCCCACUACUCCCUCAGGCAGAACCUCCUGUCCUCCACAGGACUCCCCACUCCACACCCCACCCCCAUCUUCCCGUGUCUUCCAUGAAAACAUCCCGAGCAUUGAUAGGAUUCUAAACCAGAGGAUGGAUCUUAAAAACAAUAAUGCACAUGAGAUUGUUGCUAUCGUCAUUGGUGUAACAGACGCUCACAUUCAAGCCCAGUGGCAGGCCCCAGUGGAGGCACUGGUCACAAACUGUGACCUAGAACAGAGGCUAGAGGCUGGGACACCUGCCACCUGCUGGGCCAAAGCCCAGCUGGCCUGAACCAGCCCCAGGGUAGUGGAUGUGAAAGACCCGCUCGAAAUGCCCCUGAGCCCCCUGCCCCGAAGCUGCCGG